CAUAUCGAGCAUCAGUUCAAGACAACAUCUAGUUACUUCGGCCCACAUAUGGACUGAAUUUCAAGUCUCCAGCUAAAAGACUCUCUUGACUGAAGACUUGGGGGACUAUUGUUUAUACCAUAUUUAGGGUCUCUGUAUUUAGAUAUCGUACAAAUACUCAGAGGACUUAAAUGUAAUUAUGUAAUAAAGGAAUUGGCAAAUAUGUAAUAAGUGAGGAACCCUUAUUCUAUAAAAAGACUCCUCACCCUCACAAUUAGGGGAGACCAAUUCUGAAGCCUUCUCACCCCUUUCACAUCCCCUCUCAUAUUCAGAGGUUCUCUCCCUCACCUCUCAGAUAAAUACAAUAAUCAGUGUGGACGUAGCCCAAACCUUGGGGUGAACCACGAUACAUCUUGUGUUAUUUACAAAUUUUGCACGAUACAUCUGUGUUAUUUACAUUACUUGCAGAUUCACGGCCAGAUUUACGUUGUUCCAAGACCUUUGGUUUUGUGCAUCAACAAUAUUCGUUUUCUUCACCUCAUUUCUAAUUGGCCUUGAUAUUAGAAUCUCAACUUUUUGUAUGAUAUCAAAGAGUAGAUUCGUCCCCAUUUGAAUUCCAAUGACUACACAUGCUCACGUCAUUUAGUUAAAAUUGUUCAUGUUUAGACUUGAAAGCCCGUCACACAUGAUCUUCAACUUCAUGCAACGAGAGAUUCUUGGAUAUCUCUAUUUGUAUAUCUUCUUAAUGAAAUACACACAAAAGAUAUGCAACUAAUCACAAGAUAAUUUCUCUCAUGCAACAUGUAAGAACUUUGUUGUGGAUUAAAUUAGACCAACUUUGACGUUUAUAUCAAACCAACAAAGUUUAUGCAAUGAAAUGUCAGUUUCACAUCAACAAUUAAAAUCACAUAUGCACGAAUGAGCUAUUGACUGUAACAUAGUUAUCGCUCACUGUAACAAUUGAAGGUCUUCUCAGUAAUAAAGCCUAUAAGGGUAUAUGAGUCAUUCUAGGAAAUGAAAAGGACAGAGGAAGGAUCAAGACUUGAGUGAGUUCAAAUCUUUUGCAUCUAAAAUUUUAUGUGUCAUCUCCGCAACAUGUCUUAUUUAUUGACACCUGAUUAUUUAUUUUAAUCCCAUCUAAUAGUGUUUCUUCAAUAAACAAAUAAUUUUUUUUUAAAGAUAAUCAAGACAAAAAGACGUGUAUCACUCAACUACAUAUAUAUAUAGGCUACAUAAGAUUGAACUCUCAAGACCCACCCAAAAGAGAAGAGUAUCAAGCUGGCCAUGUAAUUUUUGGGAAGAAUAAUAAUUGGCUAUUCAAAGGAUGACUAUGAGUUUCUACUCAAAAUUGUUCGUUGUCAAUUCAUAGAACUUCAUGUUUAUGAUUAGAACCGUUCAUAUAUAAAUAACUUUAUAAAAAUUGUCUUUGCAAAAAAACCAAUUAAAACCAAGUUCGUUUAGUCAUCAAACUGUAUACAAACAGAUGAACAAAAUUGUUGUCUAUGUAUUUGCUAUAAUAGAUUGACUAAACGACUUUAGUUUUAAGUCAUUUUUUGCAUAGAUGAUAUUUACAGAGUAAUUCAUAAUAUAAAUAGUUAUGAUCAUAAGUACAAAGCUUUGCGAUUCGAACACAAUUAGUUUUGAGUAGAAGUUUCUCCUCAAAAUAAACCAAACGAAUGAGGAUUCUCGCUGAAUCCUCCAAUCACACCCGUUUAUCGUACAUCAUGCGGUCAGAAAUUAUUGUGAUUUUUUUAUUUAAAAUUGAAUAUAAACAAUACCUAAUAAAAACUGGUCGCACGAUGUAUUAUCAACAGAUGUGAUCCUCUCUCAAACCAAACAAUUGAAUCCACGUGGUGCGUUGUGAUUGUAGAGAAUUGUCCAUCACUUAAAACUCUACGUUUUCUUUUGUCGUUUUCACAGUUCUGCCAAUCUUAAGACAUGCCAUUUCUUCAUUCCAAUUUUCACCUUCCUUUUUACCGUAAUAGGUGAUCCCUUUAUCCUUUUACCAACCCUUAUUUAAUUAUGGAAAAAAGACUUAUCUGCAUCAUCUUAAUGCAUGUAUUUAAUUUAGAGAGUUUUAACGAAAAACUCAAGUUACUGUUUAUUUUAACGAAAAACCACAUUUUUAUACGAAAAACCACAUUUUUAUACUAAAAAGUCAAACUUAGUACUAUUCAUUUUACCAUUUAUUUUGUCAUUAUCGUUAAAACUCAAAAUUUUUAAACAAUUUUCAUUAAUUUUCCUUUUAAUUUAUUCAAAGUUGUUUAAAGUGGAAUCUACUUUUUGGAGAAUACGAGGACAACCCUAAAAUGGUGUUUCAAACUUCACCCAUAUUUUGUCUUAAAAUACAAUUAUUGUCUCAUCCUUCACCUAUUUUUAUCUCAUUAUUUCUUAAAUUGUGUUUCAAACUUCAUUUUCUUGGACUUUACUCUUUAACGGCCAUGGAGAGAGAUUUUGCACUUUCAUCAAAAGAAAGGUGAAAACAAUUACUCACAUCACAUAACGUUCUGAUUCAACAAUACAAUUUUAUGUAAAAAAGUGAGUACAUAAUUAUAUUAUUGGAUACAAAAGCCACGAUAAUAGUUGAACAAAUUUUAUCACUCGUUAAAUAUGAACACGUUAACCGUAUUUUUUCCUUUGAUCAUAGAAUACUUGUGUCACGUGACGGUACCUAAAACCCAAAUAAAGUAAUUUUUAUUCUUUGGUAACAAGUAAUUUUCCUUUCUUUUUGGCCAAACAAAGUAAGUUUCCGUUUUUGAUAAUUUACUCUAGGGUUAUUUUCUUCAAGUUUCACACUUUUCACACGUGUAUAAGUAGUAAAAAUAAAUAAAUAUAUUUUUUGAAAAAUUCGGAGUCAUACGCUUGUAUAAAUUCAUCGUUUUUCUGGAGGGUUUUUAUCUGUAUUGUUUAUUCGAUUCUCCGAACUGAAUCGUACAUUUCUCUCUCUCUCUCUCUCUCUCUCUCAUGACAUGGAUUGAUUAAUGAAACCAUCUUGAAUUUUUACUCUCUCUCUAAACCGACACACCCCACACUUUCUCUCUCUUAGGGUUUCGCAGAGAGCUUCCCAGUUGCGAGGAACAAGAUAAAGAGAACAAUCUUUAGGGUUUUUGGCUUUCUUUCAACUUCCAGAGGAAGCCGCUGGGUUUGCGCUGAUCGUGGAAGUGUUAAUUUCUCACGGCUACUUCAGGGGCACGGUGAAUCGGCUUGCGAUUGCAGUUUUGUGAGGUUUGAGUUCUUUCUCGAUAACUGUGAAGCUUUUGGGGUUUUGGAAUUCGAAAUUUGUAUGGGAAAGUUAUGGUUUAGGGUUUGUGGUUUUGGUUUGCUAAUUUUGGUGCUGUUAGAAAUUGGAGGGGAGAUGAACAAAAUGGAGGGUAUUUUAUUUGGAUAGGGCUUUGGGCAUAGCAAAUUUAAGCAAAUUUGUAGUUAGAUUAAGUUGAUUAGCAGUACAUUACAUGAAUUUUAUACUUUUGCUCUGCUUUCCCAUGUAAGCCCAAUGCCGUCUUUCGGCCAAGCAGUUUCGUCUACAUUUUUCUUUUUCGGUUUCGAGACAAAAGAUUCUACGUCUAUGUAGGAGUAUCGGUUUGUAAACUAUGUUACUUAUUAGCUUUUAGUUGCUUACUUGGAUUGGUUAUUGACAAUGUGCGCAUUUUUGCAGCUGACGGAAGUAAUAUUUGAAUGUAAGGUUGUUUACAAGUUAUCGAGAGAGAGUCCCCCUGACCAUUUGAUUCUGCGUCGGUAAAUGUAGUGUAGAGGAUUAUGAAUGAUUGCUGUCAUGGACUUGAAUGCCUCGCCAGUACCUGAAGAAGAUGAGGAUGCUUUUGAGAAUCAUAUAGAAUACGUUGCCCCAGAAGAACGUAUAGAGAGUGGAGUUGAUAUAGCACGGCGGGUACUAUUUUUUUCUCGUUUAAAUGGCCUGCUCAUGUAGUGGCAACUGGAUCAUAUCGUUUCUUUUGUUAGUGUAGUUAUUGUUCUGGCCAUAUAUGCUUUUGUUUGGGAUCUCCAGUGAGAUUGAAAGCAUUACAGGGCAUUUUGUAUUGUUUUUGAUUGAUUGUAGUUGGGGGCUUUCAUUACUUCUGAAGCUUAUAUCUUUCCAUGGCCUUUGGAAUUGAUGGAUAUUAUUUUGUAUGCAAAAGGUUGUAUGGAAACAACCAUAAACUUGGUGGAAGCCCUUGCAACAUUUAUGGUCAUAAGACGGGGAUUUAGAAAUUCAAAAUAACAUAGGAGACAAAAUACUUUAUGCUGCUAUAUUCAACUGCAUGUACAAUUUUUUGAAACUAAUAUGUCGCUGUGGGGCAAACAGAUUUUUUGGUCUGGUUAGCUUAUUAAUAUAUGAUAUAUGGGGGAAAUUAUGCCUUCGGAAGUUUUACAACUCUCUCUCUCUCUCAUGUGCAUGCACAAUUUCCCCAUGCGCACACCUGUGAGCACACACACAGCGGUUCACAUACACAAAGAUUAGCCAUGAAAUAUUUUCAUUCUUUUUAUUUUAUUUUAUAUAUUAUGUAUAUAUGUUGAUCUCAACAUUUUAUGUGCCUGGCUGCUGAUAUUGUGUUUUCCUUGUAUUAGGAGCGUGAAGAAAGACGUAAGCGAUUGAAACGAGAACGCCCAGAUGAAAAACCAGUGCAUGUUUCUCAACCCCCUGCAUACGAUUCAUAUCAAACAAAAAACCCCAAAGUUUACGACAAAUCUAGGCUCCCCAAUGGUAAGUAUGCUGUCUGUAGUAUGUUGUUAGGUUUACUAAUAUGUUUUUAUUUCCAUAAGUUGCAUUGCUUGGUAGAAAUAUAUAGAACAACAUUUUUGUCACUACCAUGACAAGCUUUAACUGAAUUAUUACCAUUUAUAUGUUCGUUUACAUUAAAAGGUGAUUCACCCUUUCAUAGAAACUUUUAUUUUUGGUAUUGGUUUCUUGUAUGGAAGAGGUCGCACUUGGUGCGAUGGCAAGUGCCUUCGCCCAUGAGCGGUAGGUCUCGGGUUCGAGACUUGGGAGCAGCCUCUCCAUAAAUGGGGUAAGGCUAGCAGACAUUCACCUCUCCCAGACCCUGCGUAAAGCGGGAGCCUUGUGCACUGGGUACGACCUUUUUAUUGGUUUCUUGUAUGGAGACUGAGUUUAAUGCUAUAAAUUUUUAAACUUCAAUAUUAUUUGUCCUUUUAAUUAGGGCUGGGCACGGGCCGGGGCGGGCCGGGCCGAACCGAAGUUUGUAGGAAUCGGAGCUUAAAUGAAAUGGGCCGGGACGGGGCGGGGAUUGGAUUUUCUAGUAUAGGAACCAAACAUUACCCGGCCCGGUUGAAACGGGCCGGUUCGGGCCGGGUCCACGGGUACCCAUUUAAAAAAAAAAAAAAACUGCACUGCACAGUUUGAAAAUUGCACAGUUUGCAAACUGCACAGAUUGCAAACUGCACAGAUUUGCACAGAUUGCAAUUUGCAACUGCACAAUCACAAUGACACUGCAUUUAUGCAGAUUUUGCACAAAUUCACCAUUAUUCACAUCUAAUCUAAAUACAAAGUCUAACAUCCAAGUUCAUAAAUUAAGUUUUAACAAUACAUCCAAAAUAACAAUAUAUUUACAAUGGGGCAAUAUAGGAAUAGAUAAGAGCAAGUCCACCCCUAAGGACUUUGUGCCAGCACCCAGCGCAUUUAUCCACUCAAGUGAACAGUAAUAGACCCUAGUGAACAGUAACAGACCAAAGCAUCUCCACCCCUAAAAAAAUGCGCUGGCACCUAGCGCAUUUAUUUGGUAUGUUUUUUUUUUUAAGUUUAUUUCGGAUAUGAUUUUUAACCAAUUUUGGAUAAAAUUUCAAUAAACUUAAAAAAAAAACACACUGAAAUAAAAUUACAUACUCAUCAAAUAAACUUUAAAAAAAAACACACUAAAAUAAAAUUAUAUAAACUCAUCAAAUAAACUAUAGAAAGAAAAAAAUAAUUUUUUUUUAAAUUUUCUGUAUUUUUUAAUAAAUUUUCUGUAUUUUAAAUAAAUUUUAAUUAAGUUAAUUAAUCUGGACCGUUGAUCUUUGAUCGAACGGUCCAGUUUAAAAGUAAAUUUUAAAUUUUUUUUAUUGUUGGAAAUCCAACGGUCUAGAAAAACUAACCGUUGGAAAUCCAACGGCUAUUGUGAAGCCACGUCGCUGAGCCCAAGUGGGCUGACACCUUUUCAGGUUUCCCUGAAACCCACUCGCGCCUUGCGCGCUUGUGUUGCACGCGCCUGAGAAACAGGCCGGCUUCUGGGUCAGUCCAAAAAUGUGCUGGCUGCUGUUGCUGUUGCCUGAUGCAUGGGCUGGGUGCCAGGCAAUGUAACGGGCUGGAGCAAAAAAACAGGGGGCUGGCCUAUUUUUUUGGCUGGGUGCUGGGGAGUUGGUUUUGGGGUGGAUUUGCUCUAAUCAAUAUCCUUGCUCCUCAAAGAAUGUAUGCUCAGUCUUGCUCAGUCUUGCUCCUCAAAGAAUGUAUGCUGGAUCUAUUUACAAUGGGGCAAUAUAGGAAUAGAUAAUCAAUAUCCUUGCAAGCUUUUACAAAUAAUACACACGGAACACACACACAACAUAGAACACACACACAACACAACACAACACACACACAUACAUAACACACACACACACACACAACAUAGAACACACACACAACAUAGAACACACACACAACACAACACACAUACUUAACACACACACACAACAUAGAACACACACACAUAACACAAUACACACACACACAUACAUAACACACACACACACAACACACACACACACACACACACACACACACACACACACACACACACACACACACACACACACACACACACAGAACGCACGCACACACAGAGAACACACACACACACAGAACGCACGCACACACAGAGACACACACAACACAGAACACACACACACACACACACAGAACACAGAACACAGAACACACACACAACACAACACAGAACACACACACACACACACACACACACAAAACAACACACACACACACACACACACACACACACACACACACACACACACACACACACACACACACAAAACACAUAACAUAACACACACAACACAAAACUAGAUAACAACAACAAAAUCCAAAUAUAACGGUGAUGUUGAAACUAAGAAUAUGGCAAAUUGAGAAGAUUGGUCCAUCUAUAAUACGACACUAACAAUACAUGAGUUUGUAUGAAGGUAAUUGAGCACAGAUUAUCCACCAAAUCAGAAAAUCAGAAAAUUAGAAAAUUAGAAUAUCAGAAAAUCAAUAAAAAAAAAGGUUAAAGAAUUCACCUGAAGCGAUAGAGUGUUGGUGAUCGCUACGGCGGUGAUGUCGUCGGGAAUGAGAGAAGGAAAAUCGGGAAGAAUAAGAUGGGUGGUGCGGGUGCCUGCCUGGGUUCUCUAGGUCACGCCGGUGGUGAUGUCGGGGGUGGGCAAGGAGACAACUGAGGGGGAGACGGGGAGUGAGUCGAGUGACG
This 7427-nucleotide long non-coding RNA is filed under the name Malus domestica (apple). Its description in RNAcentral is "long non-coding RNA (MDOM_LNC011537)". The record is from RNAcentral. Lineage: Eukaryota; Viridiplantae; Streptophyta; Magnoliopsida; Rosales; Rosaceae.